RNAcentral lists this long non-coding RNA (350 nucleotides) under Cyanistes caeruleus (blue tit). RNAcentral's name for it is "lncRNA (ENSCCEG00000013638.1)". The record is from RNAcentral. Lineage: Eukaryota; Metazoa; Chordata; Aves; Passeriformes; Paridae.
UAAAGGGUUUCCAGGGAUGAUGAGUGGUUCCUAUUGAUAUUGGAAGUGGCUUUUUAAUCUUGCCUUCCUUUCUCUGUGAGCAGAAGAAUUUGAUGGUGUCAGGUCCCCAGCACUGGCCUUUGGGCUCUUUAGAAACACGUGGAGAGAGGCUGGAAGUAUCACCCUGACUUCAAUCAGUCCAAUGCUGCACCCAUGUUUGAUUCUUGAGAUCGCCUGAGUGUAGAUGUGCCAACACGGGUUCUGGUUUUACCACAGCUAAUUCUCUUAUUUCAAAGAGCGGAAAUAUCCUCGGACAAAUCUGCUUUGUCAAGGUUGAAAACGUUCCACACCACAGAUGGUGACCAUAAGGU